Molecule: ribosomal RNA, 253 nt
Filed under: uncultured bacterium
Lineage: Bacteria
Description: partial 16S ribosomal RNA
Rfam family: Bacterial small subunit ribosomal RNA
Source: RNAcentral
UACGUAGGGUGCGAGCGUUAAUCGGAAUUACUGGGCGUAAAGCGUGCGCAGGCGGUUUUGUAAGCCAGAUGUGAAAGCCCCGGGCUUAACCUGGGAAUGGCAUUUGGGACUGCAAGGCUUGAGUGCGGCAGAGGAGACUGGAAUUCCUGGUGUAGCAGUGAAAUGCGUAGAUAUCAGGAGGAACACCUAUUGCGAAGGCAGCUCGCUGGGACGUAACUGACGCUGAGACGCGAAAGCGUGGGGAGCAAACAGG